This is a long non-coding RNA of Corvus hawaiiensis (hawaiian crow), 2648 nucleotides long. RefSeq lists it as uncharacterized. NCBI's taxonomy places the organism in Eukaryota, Metazoa, Chordata, Aves, Passeriformes, Corvidae. The transcript is spliced from 5 exons. The record is from RefSeq and is a predicted model, not a curated record.
GAAGAUCGCUGGUCAUGUUUUGACUACACAGAGUAGGAAAAAGUUGGGUAUUCUUGUUUUUAUUUGGAUUACUGCAUGGAAAUUAACCAUACAGACACAACCCCUUCAGUAAUUCCUCGUACUUUUGUAAUUGCUUAUUCUGCGUGGAUAUCGUCUCCCAAGCCGGCUGGGUGGGCAAAGCCCUGCAGGUGCGGCGAGCUCGGGGCGGGCUCCUGGCAGGGGAGGGUCCUGGCUGACAGCUGUGGGAGCCAGGGGCUGCCAGGGAUGCUCUGCUCAGCCCUGCCCCGGCGUACGGACCAGCGCAGCGACCUCCCUACAGGAACGGCGUGGAAUCCACCCAAGACAGAGCACGUACAAAACCGAUCAACAUACAGGUGUGAUGGUAAUGGGACAUCAGAGGAACGCUCAGAUGCAUAGAAACAGCUGCCAGCAAGAGCAGAAAUGUAAAAAAUAAAUCUCCAGAAUGAGCAGCUGGAAUCAGCCCAUGUUUCCCUAUAAACUGUUGAAACCUGGAAGAAAGGUUGCAAGACCGUGAUGCAUCUUCCCAUGGCUGCUAGUUCAUGAUCGUGAGGAACCAGUGAGUGACCCAGGGUGAGAGCCUGCUUCAAACAGGCAGCUCCUGCAGGCUGUGGAUGCCAACUGUCUAGGCAGAGAGAGAUCAAGGAUUCAUGUGCAGCCUUUUGCUGUUGUCAGGGAAAAGAAGGAGAAAGAACAAAGGACUCAGCCCUGGAAUCUAUUGUCUGUGGUCUGAGGUGUCUUCAAUGGAUUUCUGGCUUCCUCUUGGGAACUGGAAACGAUAAUUGCAGCUUCUCUACACCGUGGUAUUUCUCAAUUUCUCUUUUGUUGUGUUGGACUGACAGAUGAGAAGGAAAAUUUUGACAUAGCAAUGUGCCAUACAUAUUCAUCAAAUACUGAAAACUGAUGUUUGCAGGGGAUCCAGCAGAGAGAAGAGCAAGAGUAUACUGAGCAACUGCAUACGACUGCAGGAGAUGACACAAGGCCACCUCUCCUGUGUAGCCCACGCUCCAUGUCUGAGCACUGAGUCUAUGGAUAGACCUCUUUAUCCUGAUUGUACUGCCUGCUUUCCAAUGAUGCCCUAGCGUGCCAGCAGAGCAGUCAGGACUGAAAGGCCUGGUCAUGUAUCUCAAGUGCCGUGUAUCUCAGUCACCCUGGGACUGCAAAAAGUUCCUUGUCCUUGUUGUGACCCCUAAACAGGUUUGGAGCUCUGUGUCCAUGUGGUGACUCCCCUCAGGAAGCCAAUGGUGUUUGCUGUUUACUUAAAAGUACUUAAAAAUGAAGUGUCAGUGUACUAAACAGGAGGCUCUCAUGAGGACGGUGGAGGAUGAAGGCUGUUUGGAGCACAGGCGUUGGUUGACUCCUCAGGUCUUUCGUUGCCAUCCAUGUGUGACACAGUUUCUAUAUUACUUAACUGGUUAACCUUUGUAAAUAUUGUUUUAACUGCAGGUAAAUCCACAGUAGAGGUACUUGUGACUUUUGUCUGUUCCUCACAGUGGUGUGCUCAGAGUCACUGGAACCAGUCGGGCAAAUGGGUUCGAUCCUCACAGCACAGUGCUGCUUCUGACUCAUUUGUGACAGGAGCCCUUCACUAAAUGCACAUUGCAUGGAGGGAGGGUUUUGUGCUGAGGUUUUGUGCUCUCACCACUUCUUCAGUUCAUGGAAAAACCAGGAUCAAAGAGCUCAGUAUAACGAGCAGUGUUGCAUGGAGACGAGAUCAGCAGAUGUUCUUAUUAAAGUUAGAAGAACUUAUGCCCCAUCUUUUAUGUUGGGAAGAGUAAUGGCACUGUCAUUACAUCUUAAAUCUGCCUAUUUUGCAACACAAUAUGUUAGAUGGGCUCUUUGAUAAAAUACAGCUUCAUGCUAAAAAUAAAAUGUAAAGGCUAUUCACUUGCUCAACUCAAACAUUUUGGAAAGUCCUAACCGUGCUAUUAAGUGUUGCAUUCAACUCCUUGAUUUGGUCUAUUUUGCUCUGUUCCUUGUUUUGAUCUAAUUCUUACAUUGCUCUUUCCAUCUAUUUUGUUUUCAUUAUAAAGGUACCUGAGGGAUCCCAGCAGGAAACAGCACAAGAAGUGGAAAAGGUUUUCAAAAAACCCAGUCUGCUCUUUGAACUCUUGCAAUCCCUGUGGCCACACAGGAGCAUUGGGAAAUUAAUUGGGUCAUUCAUUUGAGUUUAUGGCAGGCUGAAAGCCAUUGUUUUCUGGCAAAGAAAAGCAGAUAAAUAAUUAAAUACAAACUUUGGAAUUAUGCAGUAACUUUAAAUCAAGUAUUCAUCAUUGGUCAGAUUUGGGGUGGGAAAGGUGACAGGCUGCCUGUCUGGAAAACAAACCUCACCUUCGUGAUGUGGCAUGGAGAGAUGAUGCUUGAUGUAAAUCAUAGAACUGUAAAAUAACUGUAUUUUUGCUGACUAAGCUGCCCUUCAGGGAGGCCUGAACAGAGUUCCCUGGGCACAGCUGGUUCCUGGGCUGGGGAGCAGCAAUCACACCUCAUAAAUCCAUACAGCAAUGAAGAUACUGCCCAUUAACUUCUGAGCAGCACCAUUAAGCUUGUUUAUUUAAGGAACCUGAGAGGUAAUGUGGUGGCAUAUUGUUAUGCCUAUUAAAAUCUGUAGGAAUUAAAAACAUGGAACGUUU